RNAcentral lists this ribosomal RNA (1403 nucleotides) under uncultured bacterium. Its description in RNAcentral is "partial 16S ribosomal RNA". It matches the Rfam family "Bacterial small subunit ribosomal RNA". The record is from RNAcentral.
UUAGAGUUUGAUCCUGGCUCAGGAUGAACGCUAGCGACAGGCUUAACACAUGCAAGUCGAGGGGCAGCACAGGGUAGCAAUACUUGGGUGGCGACCGGCGCACGGGUGAGUAACGCGUAUGCAACUUACCUAUCAGAGGGGGAUAGCCCGGCGAAAGUCGGAUUAAUACCCCAUGAAACAGGGGUCCCGCAUGGGAAUAUUUGUUAAAGAUUCAUCGCUGAUAGAUAGGCAUGCGUUCCAUUAGGCAGUUGGCGGGGUAACGGCCCACCAAACCGACGAUGGAUAGGGGUUCUGAGAGGAAGGUCCCCCACAUUGGUACUGAGACACGGACCAAACUCCUACGGGAGGCAGCAGUGAGGAAUAUUGGUCAAUGGCCGAGAGGCUGAACCAGCCAAGUCGCGUGAAGGAAGAAGGAUCUAUGGUUUGUAAACUUCUUUUAUAGGGGAAUAAAGUGGAGGACGUGUCCUUUUUUGUAUGUACCCUAUGAAUAAGCAUCGGCUAACUCCGUGCCAGCAGCCGCGGUAAUACGGAGGAUGCGAGCGUUAUCCGGAUUUAUUGGGUUUAAAGGGUGCGUAGGUGGUGAUUUAAGUCAGCGGUGAAAGUUUGUGGCUCAACCAUAAAAUUGCCGUUGAAACUGGGUUACUUGAGUGUGUUUGAGGUAGGCGGAAUGCGUGGUGUAGCGGUGAAAUGCAUAGAUAUCACGCAGAACUCCGAUUGCGAAGGCAGCUUACUAAACCAUAACUGACACUGAAGCACGAAAGCGUGGGGAUCAAACAGGAUUAGAUACCCUGGUAGUCCACGCAGUAAACGAUGACUAUUAGGUGUCGGGGAGCAAAGCUCUUAGGUGCCGCAGCAAACGCAAUAAGUAGUCCACUUGGGGAGUUACGUUCGCAAGAAUGAAACUCAAAGGAAUUGACGGGGACCCGCACAAGCGGUGGAGCAUGUGGUUUAAUUCGAAGCAACGCGAAGAACCUUACCUGCUCUUGACAUCCCGGUGACCGGCAUGUAAUGAUGCCUUUUCUUCGGAACACCGGUGACAGGUGGUGCAUGGUUGUCGUCAGCUCGUGUCGUGAGAUGUUGGGUUAAGUCCCGCAACGAGCGCAACCCUUAUCUUCAGUAGCCAGCAUUUUGGAUGGGCACUCUGGAGAGACUGCCAGGGAUAACCUGGAGGAAGGUGGGGAUGACGUCAAAUCAUCAUGCCCCUUAUGAGCAGGGCUACACACGUGCUACAAUGGCGUAAACAAAGGGAAGCAAGCCUGCGAGGGUAAGCAAAUCUCAAAAAUAACGUCUCAGUUCGGAUUGUAGUCUGCAACUCGACUACAUGAAGCUGGAAUCGCUAGUAAUCGCGAAUCAGCAUGUCGCGGUGAAUACGAUCCCGGGUCUUGUACUCACCGCCCGUCAAG